Molecule: ribosomal RNA, 484 nt
Filed under: uncultured bacterium
Lineage: Bacteria
Description: partial 16S ribosomal RNA
Rfam family: Bacterial small subunit ribosomal RNA
Source: RNAcentral
GACGAACGCUGGCGGCGUGCUUAACACAUGCAAGUCGAGCGAUGAAGCUGGAGCUUGCUCCGGUGGAUUAGUGGCGAACGGGUGAGUAACACGUGAGCAAUCUGCCCUUGACUCUGGGAUAACUGCGGGAAACUGUAGCUAAUACCGGAUACUUUCCUUGGUGGGCAUCCACUGGGGAAGAAGGAAUUUCGGUCAAGGAUGAGCUCGCGGCCUAUCAGCUAGUUGGUGAGGUAAUGGCUCACCAAGGCGACGACGGGUAGCCGGCCUGAGAGGGUGACCGGCCACACUGGAACUGAGACACGGUCCAGACUCCUACGGGAGGCAGCAGUGGGGAAUAUUGCACAAUGGGCGAAAGCCUGACGCAGCAACGCCGCGUGAGGGACGAAGGCCUUCGGGUUGUAAACCUCUUUUAGCAGGGAAGAAGCGAAAGUGACGGUACCUGCAGAAAAAGCACCGGCUAACUACGUGCCAGCCGCCGCCGUAA